UUAAGCGACUAAGCGUACACGGUGGAUGCCCUGGCAGUCAGAGGCGAUGAAGGGCGUGCUAAUCUGCGAUAAGCGCCGGUAAGGUGAUAUGAACCGUUAUAACCGGCGAUACCCGAAUGGGGAAACCCAGUGUGAUUCGUCACACUAUCAUUAACUGAAUCCAUAGGUUAAUGAGGCGAACCGGGGGAACUGAAACAUCUAAGUACCCCGAGGAAAAGAAAUCAACCGAGAUUCCCCCAGUAGCGGCGAGCGAACGGGGAGGAGCCCAGAGCCUGAAUCAGCAUGKGUGUUAGUGGAAGCGUCUGGAAAGGCGCGCGAUACAGGGUGACAGCCCCGUACACAAAAGCGCAUGUGCUGUGAGCUCGAUGAGUAGGGCGGGACACGUGGUAUCCUGUCUGAAUAUGGGGGGACCAUCCUCCAAGGCUAAAUACUCCUGACUGACCGAUAGUGAACCAGUACCGUGAGGGAAAGGCGAAAAGAACCCCGGCGAGGGGAGUGAAAAAGAACCUGAAACCGUGUACGUACAAGCAGUGGGAGCACAGGUUUACCUGUGUGACUGCGUACCUUUUGUAUAAUGGGUCAGCGACUUAUAUUCUGUAGCAAGGUUAACCGAAUAGGGGAGCCGGAGGGAAACCGAGUCUUAACCGGGCGUUAAGUUGCAGGGUAUAGACCCGAAACCCGGUGAUCUAGCCAUGGGCAGGUUGAAGGUUGGGUAACACUAACUGGAGGACCGAACCGACUAAUGUUGAAAAAUUAGCGGAUGACCUGUGGCUGGGGGUGAAAGGCCAAUCAAACCGGGAGAUAGCUGGUUCUCCCCGAAAGCUAUUUAGGUAGCGCCUCGUGAAUUCAUCUCCGGGGGUAGAGCACUGUUUCGGCUAGGGGGCCAUCCCGGCUUACCAACCCGAUGCAAACUGCGAAUACCGGAGAAUGUUAUCACGGGAGACACACGGCGGGUGCUAACGUCCGUCGUGAAGAGGGAAACAACCCAGACCGCCAGCUAAGGUCCCAAAGUCAUGGUUAAGUGGGAAACGAUGUGGGAAGGCCCAGACAGCCAGGAUGUUGGCUUAGAAGCAGCCAUCAUUUAAAGAAAGCGUAAUAGCUCACUGGUCGAGUCGGCCUGCGCGGAAGAUGUAACGGGGCUAAACCAUGCACCGAAGCUGCGGCAGCGACGCUUAUGCGUUGUUGGGUAGGGGAGCGUUCUGUAAGCCUGUGAAGGUGGCCUGUGAGGGUUGCUGGAGGUAUCAGAAGUGCGAAUGCUGACAUAAGUAACGAUAAAGCGGGUGAAAAGCCCGCUCGCCGGAAGACCAAGGGUUCCUGUCCAACGUUAAUCGGGGCAGGGUGAGUCGACCCCUAAGGCGAGGCCGAAAGGCGUAGUCGAUGGGAAACGGGUUAAUAUUCCCGUACUUGGUGUUACUGCGAAGGKGGGACGGAGAAGGCUAUGUUGGCCGGGCGACGGUUGUCCCGGUUUAAGCGUGUAGGUGUGUGUUCCAGGUAAAUCCGGUUCACUUUAACACUGAGGCGUGACGACGAGGCACUACGGUGCUGAAGCAACAAAUGCCCUGCUUCCAGGAAAAGCCUCUAAGCAUCAGGUAACAUCAAAUCGUACCCCAAACCGACACAGGUGGUCAGGUAGAGAAUACCAAGGCGCUUGAGAGAACUCGGGUGAAGGAACUAGGCAAAAUKGUGCCGUAACUUCGGGAGAAGGCACGCUGACACGUAGGUGAAGUGAUUUACUCAUGGAGCUGAAGUCAGUCGAAGAUACCAGCUGGCUGCAACUGUUUAUUAAAAACACAGCACUGUGCAAACACGAAAGUGGACGUAUACGGUGUGACGCCUGCCCGGUGCCGGAAGGUUAAUUGAUGGGGUCAGCGCAAGCGAAGCUCCUGAUCGAAGCCCCGGUAAACGGCGGCCGUAACUAUAACGGUCCUAAGGUAGCGAAAUUCCUUGUCGGGUAAGUUCCGACCUGMACGAAUGGCGUAAUGAUGGCCAGGCUGUCUCMACCCGAGACUCAGUGAAAUUGAACUCGCUGUGAAGAUGCAGUGUACCCGCGGCAAGACGGAAAGACCCCGUGAACCUUUACUAUAGCUUGACACUGAACAUUGAGCCUUGAUGUGUAGGAUAGGUGGGAGGCUUUGAAGUGUGGACGCCAGUCUGCAUGGAGCCGACCUUGAAAUACCACCCUUUAAUGUUUGAUGUUCUAACGUGGACCCGUUACCCGGGUUGCGGACAGUGUCUGGUGGGUAGUUUGACUGGGGCGGUCUCCUCCUAAAGAGUAACGGAGGAGCACGAAGGUUGGCUAAUCCUGGUCGGACAUCAGGAGGUUAGUGCAAUGGCAUAAGCCAGCUUGACUGCGAGCGUGACGGCGCGAGCAGGUGCGAAAGCAGGUCAUAGUGAUCCGGUGGUUCUGAAUGGAAGGGCCAUCGCUCAACGGAUAAAAGGUACUCCGGGGAUAACAGGCUGAUACCGCCCAAGAGUUCAUAUCGACGGCGGUGUUUGGCACCUCGAUGUCGGCUCAUCACAUCCUGGGGCUGAAGUAGGUCCCAAGGGUAUGGCUGUUCGCCAUUUAAAGUGGUACGCGAGCUGGGUUUAGAACGUCGUGAGACAGUUCGGUCCCUAUCUGCCGUGGGCGCUGGAGAACUGAGGGGGGCUGCUCCUAGUACGAGAGGACCGGAGUGGACGCAUCACUGGUGUUCGGGUUGUCAUGCCAAUGGCACUGCCCGGUAGCUAAAUGCGGAAGAGAUAAGUGCUGAAAGCAUCUAAGCACGAAACUUGCCCCGAGAUGAGUUCUCCCUGAGACUUAGAGUCUCCUGAAGGAACGUUGAAGACGACGACGUUGAUAGGCCGGGUGUGUAAGCGCAGCGAUGCGUUGAGCUAACCGGUACUAAUGAACCGUGAGGCUUAACCUU
RNAcentral lists this ribosomal RNA (2906 nucleotides) under Salmonella enterica subsp. enterica serovar Manhattan. RNAcentral's name for it is "bacterial LSU rRNA". It matches the Rfam family "Bacterial large subunit ribosomal RNA". The record is from RNAcentral. Lineage: Bacteria; Pseudomonadati; Pseudomonadota; Gammaproteobacteria; Enterobacterales; Enterobacteriaceae.